AAAUUGAAGAGUUUGAUCAUGGCUCAGAUUGAACGCUGGCGGCAGGCCUAACACAUGCAAGUCGAACGGUAACAGGAAGCAGCUUGCUGCUUUGCUGACGAGUGGCGGACGGGUGAGUAAUGUCUGGGAAACUGCCUGAUGGAGGGGGAUAACUACUGGAAACGGUAGCUAAUACCGCAUAACGUCGCAAGACCAAAGAGGGGGACCUUCGGGCCUCUUGCCAUCGGAUGUGCCCAGAUGGGAUUAGCUAGUAGGUGGGGUAAMGGCUCACCUAGGCGACGAUCCCUAGCUGGUCUGAGAGGAUGACCAGCCACACUGGAACUGAGACACGGUCCAGACUCCUACGGGAGGCAGCAGUGGGGAAUAUUGCACAAUGGGCGCAAGCCUGAUGCAGCCAUGCCGCGUGUAUGAAGAAGGCCUUCGGGUUGUAAAGUACUUUCAGCGGGGAGGAAGGGAGUAAAGUUAAUACCUUUGCUCAUUGACGUUACCCGCAGAAGAAGCACCGGCUAACUCCGUGCCAGCAGCCGCGGUAAUACGGAGGGUGCAAGCGUUAAUCGGAAUUACUGGGCGUAAAGCGCACGCAGGCGGUUUGUUAAGUCAGAUGUGAAAUCCCCGGGCUCAACCUGGGAACUGCAUCUGAUACUGGCAAGCUUGAGUCUCGUAGAGGGGGGUAGAAUUCCAGGUGUAGCGGUGAAAUGCGUAGAGAUCUGGAGGAAUACCGGUGGCGAAGGCGGCCCCCUGGACGAAGACUGACGCUCAGGUGCGAAAGCGUGGGGAGCAAACAGGAUUAGAUACCCUGGUAGUCCACGCCGUAAACGAUGUCGACUUGGAGGUUGUGCCCUUGAGGCGUGGCUUCCGGAGCUAACGCGUUAAGUCGACCGCCUGGGGAGUACGGCCGCAAGGUUAAAACUCAAAUGAAUUGACGGGGGCCCGCACAAGCGGUGGAGCAUGUGGUUUAAUUCGAUGCAACGCGAAGAACCUUACCUGGUCUUGACAUCCACGGAAGUUUUCAGAGAUGAGAAUGUGCCUUCGGGAACCGUGAGACAGGUGCUGCAUGGCUGUCGUCAGCUCGUGUUGUGAAAUGUUGGGUUAAGUCCCGCAACGAGCGCAACCCUUAUCCUUUGUUGCCAGCGGUCCGGCCGGGAACUCAAAGGAGACUGCCAGUGAUAAACUGGAGGAAGGUGGGGAUGACGUCAAGUCAUCAUGGCCCUUACGACCAGGGCUACACACGUGCUACAAUGGCGCAUACAAAGAGAAGCGACCUCGCGAGAGCAAGCGGACCUCAUAAAGUGCGUCGUAGUCCGGAUUGGAGUCUGCAACUCGACUCCAUGAAGUCGGAAUCGCUAGUAAUCGUGGAUCAGAAUGCCACGGUGAAUACGUUCCCGGGCCUUGUACACACCGCCCGUCACACCAUGGGAGUGGGUUGCAAAAGAAGUAGGUAGCUUAACCUUCGGGAGGGCGCUUACCACUUUGUGAUUCAUGACUGGGGUGAAGUCGUAACAAGGUAACCGUAGGGGAACCUGCGGUUGGAUCACCUCCUUACCUUAAAGAAGC
This 1554-nucleotide ribosomal RNA is filed under the name Escherichia coli. RNAcentral's name for it is "bacterial SSU rRNA". It matches the Rfam family "Bacterial small subunit ribosomal RNA". The record is from RNAcentral. Lineage: Bacteria; Pseudomonadati; Pseudomonadota; Gammaproteobacteria; Enterobacterales; Enterobacteriaceae.